GAGGAAUAUUGGUCAAUGGGCGAGAGCCUGAACCAGCCAAGUAGCGUGCAGGAUGACGGCCCUAUGGGUUGUAAACUGCUUUUGUAUGGGGAUAAAGUCAAUCACGUGUGAUUGUUUGCAGGUACCAUACGAAUAAGGACCGGCUAAUUCCGUGCCAGCAGCCGCGGUAAUACGGAAGGUCCAGGCGUUAUCCGGAUUUAUUGGGUUUAAAGGGAGCGUAGGCGGAUUAUUAAGUCAGUGGUGAAAGACGGUGGCUCAACCAUCGUUAGCCAUUGAAACUGGUAGUCUUGAGUGCAGACAGGGAUGCUGGAACUCGUGGUGUAGCGGUGAAAUGCUUAGAUAUCACGAUGAACUCCGAUCGCGAAGGCAGGUGUCCGGGCUGCAACUGACGCUGAGGCUCGAAAGUGUGGGUAUCAAACAGGAUUAGAUACCCUGGUAGUCCACACAGUAAACGAUGUAUACUCGCGGUUUGCGAUAUAUUGUAAGCCGCCAAGCGAAAGCAUUAGUAUACCACCUGGGGAGUACGCCGGCAACGGUG
Molecule: ribosomal RNA, 538 nt
Filed under: uncultured bacterium
Lineage: Bacteria
Description: bacterial SSU rRNA
Rfam family: Bacterial small subunit ribosomal RNA
Source: RNAcentral